UCUCUUAUGAGCUACGCUCCAUGUUGUUAGUGUUGAUCCUGGUACCAUGUGCAUCACAAUAAGUGGAACCGAUGUUUAGUGGCAGUAAAAUUAAGGAAACAAACUUUGAUUCACGAAAAUUAUAAUCGAAUAAUUUUUGUAACUGAUUUGAG
This is a long non-coding RNA of Sphaeramia orbicularis (orbiculate cardinalfish), 152 nucleotides long. RefSeq lists it as uncharacterized. NCBI's taxonomy places the organism in Eukaryota, Metazoa, Chordata, Actinopteri, Kurtiformes, Apogonidae. The transcript is spliced from 3 exons. The record is from RefSeq and is a predicted model, not a curated record.